Molecule: ribosomal RNA, 90 nt
Filed under: Veillonella denticariosi JCM 15641
Lineage: Bacteria; Bacillati; Bacillota; Negativicutes; Veillonellales; Veillonellaceae
Description: partial 16S ribosomal RNA
Rfam family: Bacterial small subunit ribosomal RNA
Source: RNAcentral
AUCUUGGAGAGUUUGAUCCUGGCUCAGGACGAACGCUGGCGGCGUGCUUAACACAUGCAAGUCGAACGAAGAGCGACGGAAGCUUGCUUC